Molecule: long non-coding RNA, 2322 nt
Filed under: Salmo salar (Atlantic salmon)
Lineage: Eukaryota; Metazoa; Chordata; Actinopteri; Salmoniformes; Salmonidae
Description: lncRNA (ENSSSAG00000113588.1)
Source: RNAcentral
CUGAGAGUGAGUGCCUUAGACCACUACCAGUAGGGCUCCCAAGUGAGUCUACCAGUAGCUUGAGCAUAGACUGCCGGUUAUGUCUCUGGUUAUGUAUAUCAUCAUUAUCGCUAUCACCACUAGGAUAGCCCACAUUACCUAAUUACCUAACUAGCUACCUAGCUAUCUCGCUGGCUAACGUUAGCCUACCACAAUACAACUUGGAUUUGGCUUGGAAACAUGAUAACAUCUUAAAAGAAGGCCCUAACUAAGAUUGAGGGGACCACUGUAUUUUAGCUAGCUAACAUUAGCAUUGCUAGCUAUUUUUGACUAACUUUGCUAGUAACAGUAAUGGCAACAUUGCCAUCUCUCUAAAGUAAAUUUGACAACAUCAUAAUAUGGCAAAAUGACUUAACAAUAUCGUUGUAUUUCCAUGCCACUCUAAGUUAGUGUAAUUUAAACAGUUACGUCAUUAGCCUCUGAGGUGCAACCCCUGUCUAGGGCACAAAUUUGGUUGCAGCUAUGGGGGUACUAGCUAACUCAUGUCUGACUGCAACAGUGUACUAACUUGCAGAAACAAAUUCAACCAUCCCAGGACCAUAGCAAAACAUGUCACAGUUGGUUGCAUAGUGUAAGGGUGUUACCGGCCUGAAUCUAAUCCAAUCUGGAGCCAGUCAGUCUACAUCUGUAAAGCAUAGAAUUAGCUUGCAAACGAGAUGAUGUUAUUUCUCGAUGUAUGUUUAUAAUUGAGGCAUGAUGAUAGCUGUUGACCCUGUUUUCUCUCUCCCUCGACUCAAAUGAAAAGGACAUGCCAUCAUGAGGCCUCUGAUAGUGACCCGAAUUACUGCUCUGAUGACACAGACAGCGUCAUCAACAACGACCAGUAAUGCUCUCCCAGUCAACAUCACCUCAUGAGAUUGCCUAUUGCAGAUGUUCGAGAGAUGUCCAAUUUGCAGUCAAACAUGCAGCAUAGAGAAUACCAGCAAAGGGGCCCUCAUCAGCAUCAUGCAGAUAUGACCUCACUGUGAGCAUUCCUAUGAAUGGAACAGUCAGCCAUAUGUUGACAAGUAUCUGGCCAGCAGCCUUCACCUGUCAGCGGCAACAGCUUUCACAAGCUCAUUAUUUGUACAAAUAAAAGAAGGUAAACCACUUCAUUACUUCGACACAUUUGAUAACCCAAUUAUAAAACAAUUUAUGUAAACUGACAUUAUUUGUUGCUUAUUUUCUACUUCGUAGAAAAUGUUCAGAGCAUAACCUAGCCUGGUGGAACCAGCCUGAUCGAAGUGAAUUUCAUAGGUGAAUGCAGCGACCACGUUGGUUCCACCAGGCUAAUCAUAACCACCAUUGACAAGGCCGCAGGGCCAGACGGAUUACCAGGAUGUGUACUCAGAGCAUGCGCAGACCAACUGAAAAGUGUAUUCACUGACAUUUUCAACCUCUCCCUGUCUGAGUCUAAAAUACCAACAUAUUUCAAGCAGACCACCAUAGUCCUUGUGCCCAAGAAAGCGAAGGUAACCUGCCUAAAUGAUUACCGCCCCAUAGCACUCACGUCGGUAGCCAUGAAGUGCUUUUAAAGGCUGGUCAUGGCUCUCAUCAACACCAUUAUCCCGAAAACCCUAGACCCACUCCAAUUCACAUACCGCCCCAACAGAUCCACAGAUGACGCAAUCUCAAUCGCACUCCACACUGCCCUUUCACACCUGAACAAAAGAAACACCUAUUUGAGACUGCUUUUCAUUGAUUAUAGCUCAGCGUUCAACACCAUAGUGCCCACAAAGCUCAUCACUAAGCUAAGUACUCUGGUAUUAAAAACCUCCCUCUGCAACUGGAUCCUGGACUUCCUGACGGGCCGCCCCCCAGGUGGUAAGGGUAGGCAACAACACAUGUGCCAAGCUGAUCCUGAACACGGGGGCCCCUCAGGGGUGCGUGGUUAGUCCCCUCCUGUACUCCCUGUUCACCCACGACUGCGUGAUCAAGCACGACUCCAACACCAUCAUUGAGUUUGCUAACGACACAACAAUGGUAGGCCUGAUCACCGACAACGAUGAGACAGCCUAUAGGGAGGAGGUCAGAGACCUGGCAGUGUGGUGCCAGGCCAACAACCUCUCCCUCAACGUGAGCAAGACAAAGGAGCUGAUUGUGGAAUACAGGAACAGAAGGGCUGAACACACCCCCAUUCACAUCGACGGGUGUCCACAUCACCAACAAACUAUCAUGAUCCAAACACACCAAGACAGUCGUGAAGAAGGCACGACAAAACGGGCAUGACAAAACCUAUUCCUCAGGAGACUGAAAAGAUUUGGCAUGGGUCCCCAGAUCCUCAAAAGGUUCUACAGCUGCACC